UUGAGCGAAGCUUUUUGGUAGUUUACUACUAGAAAUGACUGAGCGGCGAACGGGUGAGUAACGCGUGAGCAAUCUACCUUAGUUACUGGGAUAGCCCGAGGAAACUCGGAUUAAUACCGGAUAUUCUUAUUUUUUCACAUGAAGUUUUAAGGAAAGGUCAGCCGAACUAAGAUGAGCUCGCGUUCUAUCAGCUAGUUGGUGGGGUAAAAGCCUACCAAGGCUACGACGGAUAGCUGGUCUGAGAGGACGAUCAGCCACACUGGGACUGAGACACGGCCCAGACUCCUACGGGAGGCUGCAGCAGGGAAUAUUGUGCAAUGAGCGAAAGCUUGACACAGCGACACCGCGUGUGGGAUGACGGUUCUAGGAUUGUAAACCACUUUCAGGAGGGAAGAAAAUGACGGUACCUCCACAAGAAGACCCGGCCAACUAUGUGCCAGCAGCCGCGGUAAUACAUAGGGGUCAAGCGUUGUCCGAAUUUAUUGGGCGUAAAGAGCUCGUAGGCGGUUCAACAAGUCGGUCGUAAAAGUUUAGGGCUCAACCCUAAAAUGUCGAUCGAUACUGUUGUGACUAGGAUACGGUAGAGGUGAAUGGAAUUCCGAGUGUAGCGGUGAAAUGCGUAGAUAUUCGGAGGAACACCAAUUGCGAAGGCAGUUCACUGGACCGUGAUCGACGCUGAGGAGCGAAAGCUAGGGGAGCAAACAGGAUUAGAUACCCUGGUAGUCCUAGCUGUAAACGAUGGAUACUAGAUGUAGAACUGGAUUGACGGUUUCUGUAUCGUAGCUAACGCGUUAAGUAUCCCGCCUGGGGAGUACGGUCGCAAGACUAAAACUCAAAGGAAUUGACGGGACCCCGCACAAGCGG
RNAcentral lists this ribosomal RNA (864 nucleotides) under uncultured marine bacterium. RNAcentral's name for it is "bacterial SSU rRNA". It matches the Rfam family "Bacterial small subunit ribosomal RNA", at positions 62 to 932 of the family's 1533-position model. The record is from RNAcentral.